CGUCCUCUGCCGUGUUCGACGGCCUGCUCAAACAUUCGCCUUGUCCCUUAAUGACGACCACGGGGGCGCGACGGGAUCCGGGAGCGCAAGCCCGCCUCGCAGCGGGAAGCCCGAUGGACUCCAGACGUCCCCACUUGAACCCAUGGUUCAAGGUCGUUUGGCAGGCAUCGCCAUGGCGGAGGACGA
This 186-nucleotide non-coding RNA is filed under the name Pseudomonadota bacterium. Its description in RNAcentral is "6S RNA". It matches the Rfam family "6S / SsrS RNA". From Rfam's summary of the family: E. coli 6S RNA was the first non coding RNA to be sequenced, but its function was unknown until recently. The record is from RNAcentral. Lineage: Bacteria; Pseudomonadati; Pseudomonadota.